Molecule: long non-coding RNA, 268 nt
Organism: Pyrus x bretschneideri (Chinese white pear)
Lineage: Eukaryota; Viridiplantae; Streptophyta; Magnoliopsida; Rosales; Rosaceae
Exons: 2
Source: RefSeq, a predicted model, not a curated record
UUUACAAUCGAAUAUACUGCACUCUAUGCAAAGUUCAGCUCAACAAAGGCAAUGAGGUUAAUUUGGAAAUAUUGCGGGGCAGGCUAGCAGAAGUUCACACAGAGCAUCUGGAUCGUGGCUGCAAAUUGAAACCCAAGUUUCGCAUUGAGACUAGAUUUAAUAUAACUGCACUGUACGUUUUCUGUGCUGCUUGUAAUACAUUCGAGAUUGUAGUAUAGACUGUAUAAUGAAUACUUCCAUGCUUUAAAGAUGAAAUAUAUCAUCAUCA